Molecule: small nuclear RNA, 109 nt
Organism: Euleptes europaea (tarantolino)
Lineage: Eukaryota; Metazoa; Chordata; Lepidosauria; Squamata; Sphaerodactylidae
Source: RefSeq, a predicted model, not a curated record
GUGCUCGCUUCGGCACCACAUAUACUAAAAUUGGAACGAUACAGAGAAGAUUAGCAUGGCCCCUAAGUGGGAGUGCCCAAGGGUAAUAGAAUUUUGGAACAAAAUACUU